UGCAUCGGCCGGGAAUCGAACCCGGGGCCGCCCGCGUGGCAGGCGAGCAUUCUACCACUAAGCCACCGAUGC
This 72-nucleotide transfer RNA is filed under the name Cordylochernes scorpioides. RNAcentral's name for it is "tRNA-Gly". Lineage: Eukaryota; Metazoa; Arthropoda; Arachnida; Pseudoscorpiones; Chernetidae. The record is from RNAcentral.